CAUUCUGCACUGGGCCGGUCAAAUUGUGUAGCUGGUCUUGCUUGUGAGAGUGUAAGAUCGGUUGUAUCCCAAAUUCUGGAACUCUAAAAGCCUGAGUGGAAGAUUGUAUGAUUUGACCAGAACAGACUCGAAGCGGCUUUGUCUCCCAGGUGCUGUGAGGCUGUGUUCUCAUCGUUCUCCCAGUGCAGGGGCCUUUGUUCGACGUUCUGAGAGGCUUUGUUCUCGGCCUUCUAUGAUGCUCUGUUCUCGACGUUCCGUGGUCCUGCGAGUCUGAGCCUGACGUUCGUUUCCGAGGCUUCCUCCUUUCGCCCCAGGCUCCGCGAGCAGGGCUGGCGCACCCCCCGGCGGCCAGCCUGUGUCACUACGUGGAGCGUGCCUCCCUACAGCCUGCAAGAGCUGGCUCUGGUAUUCAUUCAUACCCAUUUCUCAGACAGACCUUGACUGUCCCAAAGCCAGACCCCAGAAGAUCCUGCGAGGACGUCCCUCUUUUAUGAUGCCCUGUGCAUUAAGUGACCUUCUGGUGGUGACAUGGAAAGGCAGUGGCAGUGGUAGAGAGCAAAGCCUCUGAAGCCAGACUUCUUAAGGGGUGAGUAACAACUCUGCCACUUUCCAGCUGCGUGACCUUGGGAAACUCACUUAACCUCUCUGUGCCACGGCUUCUCCGUCUGUAUAAUGGGGUCAUAAUACUGUCUACCUCAUAGAGUUGUUCCGAGGAUUAAGUGAAAUUUGCCAAGUACUUGGAGCAGCGGUCUUCCGUGGAUAAAAAGCCACAGAGGGGUUUGAUAAAUAAGAAAAAAAGUAACCUAGUGAGUCCCAGGGAGAAGAAUGAGUUGGACUUUAGCAGAGACAAACCUUAUGCAGUCUUCCUGUUGUUCACAGUCGGCCUAGACUGCAUUCAUUUUCCAACAGCAGGGAGAGAAUCGAGGAUUGAGGAUCGGGUCUGGAUUGCUUACAGCAAGGCUUUCUAAGUAGUGUCUGGGGUGAAGUCGGGAUUGGUUUUUCAUCCCUGCUGUUUGUACAAGACCAUUUGAGCCAUUUGCUGAGUAGAAUGUUGCAUCUGCAAUUGAUUUAGAAUUCUGGUCACCAGGCAUUUGAAGAUGGAUAUUCAGAGGAAGAUAAAUCAAAAGAAUAAGGGAGUAAAACCAAGAUUUGAGGCCACAUGAGAGGAUUUCAAGGAGGGGAAGGGACAUCCUUGGUUGGUGGAGUCAGAAGAGCCUUGGCAAUUCCGAAGAUUUCUUUUUUGGCUUCUUGAUGUUAUUAAUGAUGACGAUGAUAUUGAAAGAGUUCUUGAGAAUGGACAUGCAACAGUUGCCUCUAUACCAGCUAAUUUUUAGAACAAAACUUAGCAAAAGAAAAAGAAAAAAAAUGAAAAGAGAAACAGUUGCUUCCAAAUAUGGCACAUGGUUUCCUCUCCUGGAAGCUGCAUGCCCAAUGCCAGCUGAUUUAUCCACAAAAGUAAAAUGAAAAUACAGAUGACCUCUGACUUAGGAGGGUUCGACUUAAUGAUUUUUCAACUUCUCGAGGGUGUAAAAGCAGCACACAUUCAGUAAAGACCAUAUUUCAGGAUGAUUUAUCAGGACCUAACCCCACUGUUAAGUCAAGGAGCGUCUGUAAAACAAUGUUAUCAGAUGGCAGCAGCCACUGUUGCUGGCAAACCCUUCUUUGUGAAGAUAGCAGGAGCCAGCGCCAAGCUUUAAGGCAAGCCAGCAGCCCCCUGUGGACAAGGGCAGGCCAUGUGCACACAGGCACCCUGUCCCAGUCAACACUCACAGUGGGUCCCCAAAGGCAACCCUAAGGAUCCGAGAUACGACUGCGGGACUCAAGUCACCCCACAAUCUCGCUACUUUGUGCUCCUU
This is a non-coding RNA of Microcebus murinus (gray mouse lemur), 1856 nucleotides long. Lineage: Eukaryota; Metazoa; Chordata; Mammalia; Primates; Cheirogaleidae. The record is from RefSeq and is a predicted model, not a curated record.